AGCCCAACAGCUAGCCCACCUAUUAAAACCAAAACACCCUUAUAAAUACCCCUAAAUAUUGUUCUUACAACAACCCAAAACAUUUUACCACUUUAGUAUAGGCGAUAGAAAC
Molecule: ribosomal RNA, 112 nt
Filed under: Parablennius yatabei
Lineage: Eukaryota; Metazoa; Chordata; Actinopteri; Blenniiformes; Blenniidae
Description: partial 16S rRNA
Source: RNAcentral